GUUGUUGAACUAUUGUGAUUUUCAUGUUUCUUCCCUAAGAUGUAGAGUGCUUGCUUUGUUUUAUCUUGAAAAGUGCAUCUUAUGGUUAAUUUCAUUCUAGAUGACACAUAUGCAGCUCUCCAUUAUGAGAACAAUUAACUUUGUUGCGUCAAAGAAAAUGAGACUAAAAUUUGUUUUUUUACAGAUAUGAUUAUAUAACCUAAUCAUACUGGAAAAUUAGCAGCACGGCAUAGUGAUUGGUAUGUCAUUGGGUUUGAUCUUUCUAAAAUCAUUUGCAUUUAUCCUUGAAAAAUCAUAAUAGAAUAAAAUAAGAAAAAGUGCAGUGGAGAUAGAUUCCCCUCCGAUCGUACACAGGGUUUGCGGAAUUUCCUACACCAUGCUUAUGGGGCCUAUAGCGGUCUCCAUUCACCCAAGGGUGAUGACCAUCCCCUAAGGGUUCUGGGAAUCCACCCAUUCUGCCCUGUUCCCCUCACUGGGAAAAAGUUUUUACAUAAGAGUUGAAACAAAUUUUAUGUGUAAGGUUGUUGAGAACAGUUGCCAAGUGCUACUUAUUUUCUUUACUGUAGCACUAAUGUCUUUUGACAGAUUAGCAUCAUGCACUGUAAUGGAAUAUGGUCGAUAAUUUGCUACUGAGUACUGCUCAAUAUGUGAUCCGUGGAUAUUAAAGUAAAGAAGAUGCAUACAUUUGAUCCCAAAGGGAGCAAUGUCUAUAGGGAAUCUCUUAUUAGGGAGACAUAAAAUGGGUCUUGAGACCUCUAUCAUUUUCUACUACUAGUUUGAGGCUAAAACAUGAAGUGGUGCUUUUAGUGAAGAAUCCUGGGAAAAAACCCUUCCUUGUUUAUAAUUUGGGCAGACAUUCCUAGAGUUCAAUAAGUUUGAGCUCAAGUGGUUUCUCUUCACCCAAUGAGACAUGAUGGGAGUAAAGUUGCAAUUUCAAUACCUCCUUGGUGUAUGCCUAACUUACCAAUUAAAACUAUGGAUGAACAUCCUGAGAAGAAUAAAGCAGCCCCAGGUUUGUCACAUAGAGGUAGUUUGAACUGACAUGGUAUUCAUCUCCUCUCUUUUUCUUUUUUAAUGUUUACAUUUUCCAGUCAUCUCCUGUAAAACAAUAAAUCAUUUGAAAACAUAUUCAAUUAAAUGUAGCCAUAGACUAGUGGUGCUUACAAGCAAAUGUACCUCACAUCAAGGACUUCUGGUGUAUGCAUAUUGAUUAAUGGGACAGGGUUAUUGCUGCCUUUGGUGUUACAAAACAGAUAGUUGAUUGGAGAUUUUUUUUUUUUGAUAAAUAAAAUUUUUAUUAAAUCACGUAAUUAGGCAUAGCCCAAGUACACAGGAAGUAUACAAGAGGAAAAGGCCUAAUUACAAACUAAAGCUCAAAAACAGCACAAAAGUCAUUUAGACUAGCCCCAUCCAUUACAAUAAUCGAAGCCCAAGGCAACAAAGUAUGAUAAAAGAAGUCUUUAAUACCUCCCACCGAUCAUUCUCUAUUGUCAAAACAACACUCAUUCCUCUCAUUUCAAAUACACCACAUAAGACAAAGAGGUACUAUCUUCCAAACAACCACCAUUUGACGAUUGCCUUGAAUCCCAUUCCAACAGGCCAGGAGAGUCACCACCCUCUUAGGCAUCGCCCAAGCAAUACCAAGCUUAGCAACAACCUCAUCCCACAAAGCCUUCGACACAUCACAAUGGAGAAGAAGGUGAUCCAUUGAUUCGCCACCCCCUUUGCACAUGAAACACCAGUCCAUUACAAUGAUACCUUGCUUUCUCAAUUUAUCAAUAGUAAGAAUUUUCCCAUGAGAAGCCAACCAACCGAAGAAGACCACCUUGAGAGGCACUUUGCAUCUCCAAAUAUUUUUCCAAGGAAAAAAAUCAGUAGAAGAAUGAGAUGCCAAGAACUUAUACAAAGAUCGAACCGUGAAUCUCUUAUUACCAAGCUGUUUCCAAAGUAAUCUAUCAUCCUCUCUAGACUCUAUUUUGAAAGCAUAAAGCAAAUUGUAAAAAUCAGUAAUGUCCCCCACCUCCCAAUCCUAGACAUCCCUAAUAAAGCUAACUGACCAUUGAAUAAGACCAGUAGUAUUGCCCAUAUAAUCCGCCACAGAAGCAUCAUUAUUCGAGGCAAUUCUAAAAAGAGAAGGGAAAGCAAUCUUCAAAGCCUCAUCUCCAUACCAUAAGUCAUGCCAAAAUCGACAUCAAAACGAU
Long non-coding RNA from Juglans microcarpa x Juglans regia, 2201 nucleotides. RefSeq lists it as uncharacterized. Lineage: Eukaryota; Viridiplantae; Streptophyta; Magnoliopsida; Fagales; Juglandaceae. The record is from RefSeq and is a predicted model, not a curated record. The transcript is spliced from 2 exons.